This is a long non-coding RNA of Alligator mississippiensis (American alligator), 1877 nucleotides long. RefSeq lists it as uncharacterized. The record is from RefSeq and is a predicted model, not a curated record. NCBI's taxonomy places the organism in Eukaryota, Metazoa, Chordata, Crocodylia, Alligatoridae. The transcript is spliced from 5 exons.
UCAGAGAGAGAAGAGCUGGACCAUCUGUAACCUGCUCUCUUUCUUGAAACUCAUGAUCAGUGAACUGCCUGCCUCCAGAGGGAAUCUCCACCUGCUUCUGGAUGAUACUUGGAAGCUGCAUGUUGAUGAUGUCCAAAAGAACACGAUCUGUCCCAGGACAAUGGACAUGGACAUCUGAACAACUGCACUUUAUCCAGAGAUAAAAUUACUUCUCCCAGGACAAAUGCAAGGACCAGUCAUCCAGUGUACAGUCCUCCCAGGAGAUGUGUUCAACACAGGAGUGGCAGAAGGUGUCCACCAGAUCCAGGGCUGCUCAGGCUAGCAUGGUGGAGGCUCCCCAGGUACAAGUGGGGAACAGAUACGAGGCCCUGGCAGCUGUGGCAGAGAAGGACAAAGGGGAUGCCUCCAGCGGGGAUGAUGCCACUCUAUGUAAGACACAGACGGUGCAUAGAGGGACUAUCAGGAGGAAGAAAUGCUGGGUCCUCAUCAUUGGGAACUCCAUCCUAAGGGGAACAGAGGGACCCAUCUGCCGACCCAACCCCAUGGCACGACAGGUCUGCUUCAUGCCUGGGGCUCCGAUUCAGGACAUCACAGAGAGGAUCCUGGCCUACAUUCGACCGUCAGACCAGUACCUUAUGGUUCUCAUCCAUGUGGGAACAAAUGACGUGGCCAGAGGCAACCCAGACUGCAUCAUGAAGGACUUUGAGGCCUUGGGGGCCAAGCUCAAGGAGACGAGGGCACAGGUGGUAUUCUCCUCUAAUCUCCCGGUUGGCUGAUCUUGUGUGGCAUGCUUUAAACUAGCUUCGCCAGGGGGUUGGGCCACAGGAGGACUUGAGGACACCUUCCAACCAAGACAGGUGACAUGCACAAGGGGUACCCAGGUAAGCAACAGGGGUCCAGAUAGUCCUGGGAAUCAGGGGGUGGCACACGCACCAAUUCAAGGCCUUAAAUGCCUCUACACCAAUGCUCAUAGUAUGGGGAAUAAGCAGGAAGAACUUGCCCUCCAGAUAGCUAGUUCAAACCCGGACACAGUAGGGCUCACAGAAACCUGGUGGGAUUCAUCCCGCAACAGGGCAGUUAACAUUAGGGGCUAUAGACUAUACAGGCCGGAUAGAAUGGGGAGGAAGGGUGGAUGUGUUACAUCAAAGAGCAAUUCAUAGAUUCAUAGAUUCAUAGAUGUUAGGGUCGGAAGGGACCUCAAUAGAUCGAGUCCAACCCCCUGCAUAAGCAGGAAAGAGUGCUGGGUCUAGAUGACCCCAGCUAGAUGCUCAUCUAACCUCCUCUUGAAGACCCCCCCAGGGUAGGGGAGAGCACCACCUCCCUUGGGAGCCCGUUCCAGACCCUGGCCACUCGAACUGUGAAGAAGUUCUUCCUAAUGUCCAAUCUAAAUCUGCUCUCUGCUAGCUUGUGGCCAUUAUUUCUUGUAACCCCCGGGGGCACCUUGGUGAAUAAAUACUCACCAAUUGCCCUCUGUGCCCCCGUGAUGAACUUAUAGGCGGCCACAAGGUCGCCUCUCAGCCUUCUCUUGCGGAGGCUGAAAAGAUCCAGUUUCUCUAGUCUCUCCUCGUAGGGCUUGGUCUGUAGGCCCUUAACCAUACAAGUGGCCCUUCUCUGGACCCUCUCCAGGUUAUCCGCAUCCCUCUUGAAUUGCGGUGCCCAGAAUUGCACACAGUACUCCAACUGCGGUCUGACCAGCGCCCGAUAGAGGGGAAGUAUCACCUCCUUGGACCUAUUCGUCAUGCAUCUGCUGAUGCACGAUAAAGUGCCAUUGGCUUUUCUGAUGGCUUCUGCCGGCUCAUGUUCAUCUUGAAGUCCACUAGGACUCCAAGAUCCCUUUCCACCUCUGUGCCACCCAGCAGGUCAUUCCCUAGGCUGUA